ACAGACAGCCAGGAUGUUGGCUUAGAAGCAGCCAUCAUUUAAAGAAAGCGUAAUAGCUCACUGGUCGAGUCGGCCUGCGCGGAAGAUGUAACGGGGCUAAACCAUGCACCGAAGCUGCGGCAGCGACGCUUAUGCGUUGUUGGGUAGGGGAGCGUUCUGUAAGCCGUCGAAGGUGGCCUGUGAGGGCUGCUGGAGGUAUCAGAAGUGCGAAUGCUGACAUAAGUAACGAUAAAGCGGGUGAAAAACCCGCUCGCCGGAAGAC
Molecule: ribosomal RNA, 262 nt
Filed under: Leclercia tamurae
Lineage: Bacteria; Pseudomonadati; Pseudomonadota; Gammaproteobacteria; Enterobacterales; Enterobacteriaceae
Description: partial 23S ribosomal RNA
Rfam family: Bacterial large subunit ribosomal RNA
Source: RNAcentral